GACGAACGCUGGCGGCGUGCUUAACACAUGCAAGUCGAGCGGUAAGGCCCUUUCGGGGGUACACGAGCGGCGAACGGGUGAGUAACACGUGGGUGACCUGCCCUCAGCUCUGGGAUAAGCCUGGGAAACUGGGUCUAAUACCGGAUAUGACUCCAUGACGCAUGUUGUGGGGUGGAAAGCCUUGUGCGGCUGAGGAUGGGCCCGCGGCCUAUCAGCUUGUUGGUGGGGNGAUGGCCUACCAAGGCGACGACGGGUAGCCGGCCUGAGAGGGCGACCGGCCACACUGGGACUGAGACACGGCCCAGACUCCUACGGGAGGCAGCAGGUGGGGAAUCUUGCGCAAUGGGCGAAAGCCUGACGCAGCGACGCCGCGUGAGGGAUGACGG
This 386-nucleotide ribosomal RNA is filed under the name uncultured bacterium. Its description in RNAcentral is "bacterial SSU rRNA". It matches the Rfam family "Bacterial small subunit ribosomal RNA", at positions 28 to 414 of the family's 1533-position model. The record is from RNAcentral.